Punica granatum (pomegranate) is the source of this 144-nucleotide non-coding RNA. The record is from Rfam. Lineage: Eukaryota; Viridiplantae; Streptophyta; Magnoliopsida; Myrtales; Lythraceae.
UUGGCUUCAAUCAUAGUAUAGUGAUGGCUUGCACUGCUAAUACUUGAGUAGGUGUUUGUCCAUUUCGUUGAAGCCGAUAUUAUUGUUCCCCUCGCUAUCCGGUGCUUCAUCGAUGUUGUAAUCGGACGUCGGGGAACUACAGUU